This 253-nucleotide ribosomal RNA is filed under the name uncultured bacterium. RNAcentral describes it as "partial 16S ribosomal RNA". It matches the Rfam family "Bacterial small subunit ribosomal RNA", at positions 524 to 776 of the family's 1533-position model. The record is from RNAcentral.
UACGUGGGCAGCGAGCGUUGUUCGGAGUUACUGGGCGUAAAGGGUGUGUAGGCGGUUGUUUAAGUUUGGUGUGAAAUCUCCCGGCUCAACUGGGAGGGUGCGCCGAAUACUGAGUGACUAGAGUGCGGGAGAGGAAAGUGGAAUUCCUGGUGUAGCGGUGAAAUGCGUAGAUAUCAGGAGGAACACCGGUGGUGUAGACGGCUUUCUGGACCGUAACUGACGCUGAGACACGAAAGCGUGGGUAGCAAACAGG